RNAcentral lists this ribosomal RNA (254 nucleotides) under uncultured bacterium. RNAcentral describes it as "partial 16S ribosomal RNA". It matches the Rfam family "Bacterial small subunit ribosomal RNA", at positions 524 to 776 of the family's 1533-position model. The record is from RNAcentral.
AACGGAGGGGGCAAGUGUUAUUCGUCAUAACUGGGCGUAAAGCGUAUGGAAGGCGGUUGAUUAAGUGAGAGAUAAAAGACCCAAGCUCAACAAGGGAAAUAUGUCUUAGACUGGUGAACUAGAGUAUAGGAGAGGUGAGCAGUAUACCCUGUGUAAAGGUGGAAUUUUAAGAUAUAGGGUAGACGACCGAAGGCGAAGGCAGCGAACUGGAAUAUUACUGACGCUAAAGUACUAAAGCAUGGGGAGCAAACAGG